UCCUCACCCUAUUUUAUGUUCACAGUUCUCUUGAAGUCCUAAAAUAUUCAAUUAACUUAGGCAAACACAUCUUAGAUUGUGCUGCUGGAGCGCACUUUCUCUUCGGAUACCUACAUUCGGUAGAUUUCCUCUUAGAUAAAAUACUUACAUCCUCUCAUUUCUCAUAGAAAGCACCCAUGCUGAAACCAUCUGGACUCACAUAAUUACGUUUCCAUCAGCUCUGACUCUGACUCAAAGACAUGUAUGUUUAAGCCGGUGUGAACCAAGUGUACCUGACCGAAACUGCUGCUCACUGUUGGAACCUUUCUGCUCAGCUGAGAAGAAUGUCUGCGGCAAGACUUUCAAUAGCAUUCACAGGUUUAAUUAUGCAUAUACACGAGUUAAUUGGUAUUAUCUCACAUUUAGUAUUUACAGUAAUUAGAAAACACUUUACCUAUCUAUUCACUAGCUGUCAAAGGGAGAGAAAUCGAGUCUCUCUCGCAGUGAGAAGGGCUGAUCACAAGAGCUUUGGCUCUGCCUCUUCUCUGCAUCCACUCCUGUGGGACAUCAAUGAGCCAGGCCACCUGGCCCGCCGGAGCACUCCUGGGCUGGCACGCAGCCUCGGGGCACUUUGGAGCAUCCAGCAUUAACCUGCAGGACAAGGCCCUAGGGACAACCUUGCUCUAGAAAAUCAAAUCUGCACUGGCAAUGCUGACAUCAGUGAUGCGCUUACAAAGAAUAGGAUGCAAAGUAAUAAGAACUUUGAAGAGCUCCAAUCCAGUUCUCCAAAUGAGCUCCAGACACGCCGAACAACACGCCCAUGUCACUCAGAACCCACAAGACUUCCACACGCUCAUGCACAGGAAGACUCCAGAAGGCAUGGUGAAAACAAAAGCGAGAAUUUGUCACAUAUACAACUGGUCAAUGCAGUACCUCUUUCAAGGAAAAUUAAGAGCUGAGUCUAAGCACUGAUAGGCUAAGUAACUGAAGUUUGGACUGAGGAGGUAGCUCAGUGACAGACCACCUGCCUGCAGGCACAAGGCCCUGGGGAGCUAAGA
This 1037-nucleotide long non-coding RNA is filed under the name Cavia porcellus (domestic guinea pig). Its description in RNAcentral is "lncRNA (ENSCPOG00000038113.1)". Lineage: Eukaryota; Metazoa; Chordata; Mammalia; Rodentia; Caviidae. The record is from RNAcentral.